This 515-nucleotide ribosomal RNA is filed under the name uncultured bacterium. RNAcentral's name for it is "bacterial SSU rRNA". It matches the Rfam family "Bacterial small subunit ribosomal RNA", at positions 28 to 536 of the family's 1533-position model. The record is from RNAcentral.
GAUGAACGCUAGCGAUAGGCCUAACACAUGCAAGUCGAGGGGCAUCACAUGAAGUAGCAAUACGGAUGGUGGCGACCGGCGCACGGGUGAGUAACACGUAUGCAACCUGCCUUCAACAAGGGGAUAACCCGUUGAAAGACGGACUAAUACCCUAUAACACAGGGGUCCCGCAUGGGAAUAUUUGUUAAAGGACAACCGGUUGAAGAUGGGCAUGCGUUCCAUUAGCUAGUUGGCGGGGUAACGGCCCACCAAGGCAACGAUGGAUAGGGGAACUGAGAGGUUUAUCCCCCACACUGGUACUGAGACACGGACCAGACUCCUACGGGAGGCAGCAGUGAGGAAUAUUGGUCAAUGGACGCAAGUCUGAACCAGCCACGUCGCGUGAAGGAAGACGGCCCUACGGGUUGUAAACUUCUUUUAACGGGAAUAAAGUGCCCCACGCGUGGGGUUUUGCAUGUACCGUAUGAAUAAGGAUCGGCUAACUCCGUGCCAGCAGCCCGGUAAUUCACACUACA